GGAAUUGCUAGUAAUCGCGGAUCAGCAUGCCGCGGUGAAUACGUUCCCGGGCCUUGUACACACCGCCCGUCACACCAUGGGAGCCGGUAAUACCCGAAGUCAGUAGUCCAACCUCGUGAGGACGCUGCCGAAGGUAGGAUUGGCGACUGGGGUGAAGUCGUAACAAGGUAAC
This 172-nucleotide ribosomal RNA is filed under the name uncultured bacterium. RNAcentral's name for it is "partial 16S ribosomal RNA". It matches the Rfam family "Bacterial small subunit ribosomal RNA", at positions 1328 to 1500 of the family's 1533-position model. The record is from RNAcentral.